UACGGAGGGAGCUAGCGUUGUUCGGAAUUACUGGGCGUAAAGCGCGCGUAGGCGGUUAUUCAAGUCAGAGGUGAAAGCCCGGAGCUCAACUUCGGAACGGCCUUUGAAACUAGAUAACUAGAAUCUUGGAGAGGUCAGUGGAAUUCCGAGUGUAGAGGUGAAAUUCGUAGAUAUUCGGAAGAACACCAGUGGCGAAGGCGACUGACUGGACAAGUAUUGACGCUGAGGUGCGAAAGCGUGGGGAGCAAACAGG
Molecule: ribosomal RNA, 253 nt
Filed under: uncultured bacterium
Lineage: Bacteria
Description: partial 16S ribosomal RNA
Rfam family: Bacterial small subunit ribosomal RNA
Source: RNAcentral